Long non-coding RNA from Patiria miniata (bat star), 548 nucleotides. RefSeq lists it as uncharacterized. The transcript has 5 exons. The record is from RefSeq and is a predicted model, not a curated record. NCBI's taxonomy places the organism in Eukaryota, Metazoa, Echinodermata, Asteroidea, Valvatida, Asterinidae.
CUUGAAGAUUCAAGAAAGCUGACGUCAAGUAGAUUGUAACUUGCUGGAGCAUUCCACACGGAUGCUGUUUAUUUGCCCUUUGAAAAUCAAGAUGAAGAAUUCAAUACCAAAACCAAGUAGAGGUAUUGUCUUGUAUUGGUACCAGUGGGUGGACGGAAAGUCACUGUACCCCGAACACCUGAGGAAACUUGGAGAGAGGACGAUCGAGAGAAAGAACCCAAAACGAUAUUAGAGAGAAUCUUUACCUUAUCAGCUUCCCUGCGUCCAUGGAGGGCUGUUCACCAACAUGGUCCGCUGCAAAAAACAACAUCCGUUGGCAAGUCCUUCACGGUGCAUUUGUGUCCUGCAUUCGGUGAGGACUCCCACCUCUACGCGCCGAAUUGAAGUCUGAAAUUCCCAGAGAUUUGACAGUGAGUGUACCGCAUGCAUAAAAGCACCUGGAAAACAUUGACACUCAUCUUUAAGGCUGUCCAUUGGAGGUGACCUCCGGUUGUUGUUCUGCGACACAUCGCACAAGAAGUAUCCGUCCUUAUCGGAGCCUGGGUCUG